Molecule: long non-coding RNA, 461 nt
Organism: Anas platyrhynchos (mallard)
Lineage: Eukaryota; Metazoa; Chordata; Aves; Anseriformes; Anatidae
Source: RefSeq, a predicted model, not a curated record
UCUGCACCGCCACGCUCCUCCCAGCUCGGUGAGCCUCCCCAUGUGAUCCUUUCUUCCCCCUAAAUAAAGUUGAAAAAUUUGGCUGGGAGCAGCGAGUGCUGCUGAGGCAGCGGGUGCGCGGAGCCGUCCCACCCUCCCCACAUCUGCAGCACAACCCAGGCGCCCGCUCGGCACCGGCUGCCUUCAGGACGGAGGGCGAUGAGGCUGGCCACUUAGCCGGGGUGCGGGCUACCUCCAUGCCAGCCUUCAGCAGGGGCUCCCAGCCUUGCCAGCCCCUGCUCGCUCCCCCUUUUUUGAGAGGAGCCCAGCGGGCCGAGGACGAUGUGGCCGGAGAAGCUCUAAAGUGCUUUCAAGUUUUCAUUUACCCUGUAACUCAAGAGAACAAUUAGACAAUCCACUUGGACCUGCACUGGAAUCUGAUAGCUGUGGAUACAGAUGAGAUGAGAUACAGGUUCAGGCAA